This 500-nucleotide ribosomal RNA is filed under the name uncultured Glomus. RNAcentral describes it as "SSU rRNA". It matches the Rfam family "Eukaryotic small subunit ribosomal RNA", at positions 591 to 1092 of the family's 1831-position model. Lineage: Eukaryota; Fungi; Glomeromycota; Glomeromycetes; Glomerales; Glomeraceae. The record is from RNAcentral.
CCAAUAGCGUAUAUUAAAGUUGUUGCAGUUAAAAAGCUCGUAGUUGAAUUUCGGGGUUAGUAGGUUGGUCAUGCCUCUGGUAUGUACUGAUCUUACUGAUUCCUCCCUCUUGACGAACUGUAAUGUCAUUAAUUUGGUGUUGCAGGAAAUCAGGACUGUUACUUUGAAAAAAUUAGAGUGUUUAAAGCAGGCUAAGGCUUGAAUACAUUAGCAUGGAAUAAUGAAAUAGGACGUUUGAUCCUAUUUUGUUGGUUUCUAGGAUCGACGUAAUGAUUAAUAGGGAUUGUUUGGGGCCUUAGUAUUCAAUUGUCAGAGGUGAAAUUCUUGGAUUUAUUGAAGACUAACUACUGCGAAAGCAUUUGCCAAGGAUGUUUUCAUUAAUCAAGAACGAAAGUUAGGGGAUCGAAGACGAUCAGAUACCGUCGUAGUCUUAACCAUAAACUAUGCCGACUAGGGAUCGGAUGAUGUUAAUUUUUUAAUGACUCCUUCGGCGCCUUACG